Molecule: ribosomal RNA, 120 nt
Filed under: uncultured bacterium
Lineage: Bacteria
Description: partial 16S ribosomal RNA
Rfam family: Bacterial small subunit ribosomal RNA
Source: RNAcentral
UACACACCGCCCGUCACACCACGAAAGCCCGCUGCAACAGAAAUCGGUGAUCUAACCCGCAAGGGGGGAAGCCGCUGAAGUUGUGGUUGGUGAUUGGGGUGAAGUCGUAACAAGGUACCC